Molecule: non-coding RNA, 30 nt
Organism: Clostridium autoethanogenum DSM 10061
Lineage: Bacteria; Bacillati; Bacillota; Clostridia; Eubacteriales; Clostridiaceae
Source: Rfam
AUUUAAAUACAUCUUAUGUUGAGGUUCAAC